RNAcentral lists this unclassified non-coding RNA (770 nucleotides) under Harpegnathos saltator (Jerdon's jumping ant). RNAcentral describes it as "uncharacterized LOC105191406, transcript variant X6". Lineage: Eukaryota; Metazoa; Arthropoda; Insecta; Hymenoptera; Formicidae. The record is from RNAcentral.
AACUCCUCACCGAUGCGCGUCGGUUAAAAUAUCGAUAAAUAUCGGUCGUAAUCGACAAUCCUACCGAGUACCGUCCUAUAUCCAUCGGUAGUGUCUGAUCGACAGACAUUUAGAACAAUUUAGAAAAUUAUUGGUUAUAAAAGUUUCAAUUAGUGACUCCGGCUCUGACUUGUGAAUAUUUUUCUGUUCAUGUAUUUUUAUGGCCGAAGAAUAUUUAAUAUGGGACCUAUUAAAUAUAGAAAAUAGAGUAAGACAAGUAAGACGUCGAGAGGAGAAAAGAGCCUGGCGCGAUAUAAACGAUUCAUUUGAACUACAUAACGAUGUGUUUACUAAUUUAUUUCGUUUAUUAUCGGACACUGUAUUGGAAUUACUAGAUACUUUAAGACCUAGAUUACGACGAUUGCGGCCAUGGGAUUUCACCAGAACGACAGAUGAAAGUUUAAUUGAAGAAACACAUACAAAAUUAGUCCUUUUUAGGGCUACAACACAUGCAUAUACAGUGGAGAGAGUUUGGAGUCAAAGAAUACUACGGGAGUGACGAACCCGUUAUUCAGGAACAACGACAUGGACGUAGGAGGUUUCUGUUCCCCUUGGGGUGCUUGAUUUACAAAUAAAGGUGACCUUCAUAUCUUGGAAGUAACUCCACCUACAAAAAAUCCGUAACUACCAUCUGAUGACCCCUUCUGUACGAUGCAACUUCUAUUGGACAAAUUUUUUUCUGACACUUAUAGUUUCGAAGAUAUUCAAGGUGUUAAUAAUUACUGGACCAC